UUUAGACGGAGAACCGAUCUUGUAACUAACUAUAUCAUAGGCACACUAGUAUUUUAAAUCGGUAAAAAACCUUAAUAUAACAUAUAACUAAAAAAUACAAAAGAAAAAGAAAGAAAUAUAAAGAGCAAAAAAUUCACAUUGCACUAAUUGGAACGUAAUAUCCAUAUCUGCUAGACGUCAAAGCUAGCCAACAACAGCGUCAUCGAACUAAUAGAAAAAUAAUGGUAUUGCAAAUAAAUAACGUCAUCGAACUAAUAGAAAAAUAAUGGUAUUGCAAAUCAAUAAAUAAAUAAAUAAAUAAAUUUACGAUUAACUCGUAAAAAUUCGAACAGAAAUUCUUGAAGAAAAAAAAAAGAGAUACUUGUUGUUGAUCUUUAUUUGUUCUUCGGCUUUGUUCAUUAACAAAUUAUCAUCCAUAUGGAUCUAAGUCUUCUACUUCAUCAUUCUUGUAAUAAGCAUUGUUGUUCUGAUGAUUUCACCGUGGUGUUAAAGGACUUUUGGAAACUUAUUAAUGAGAAAAUUCUGCCUGAUAAACAACAUUCGUGGGAUUUUCAUGAUGUUGUUAGUCCUCAACGUCAAACGACACCUUUAGAUGAGUAGAUAUAUACAUGUGUUUAAAUUACAUAAAUAUAAUUAAUAUGAUAUGUGAAAGGUUGUAAUGGUCCAUAAUUCUGAAUAGGGAAGGUUGUAACGGUCCCUUGUUGGGACCGUUUCUUUCACUAGUGGGUGGAUAAUAUGUUAAAUUAAAAGAAAAAAUAGCACAUAAAAAAGAGAAAAAAGAAAAGAUAAAAUCCAAAAAAAGAAAGGAAAAAAUAUAUAAAUAUGAUAAAGAGAUGUGUCAACUCAUACAUGCUUACGUACACACGUACAUAUACGUACACAUACAUACAUACGUACAAUGGACCUUUUUCCGCUAGAUCGGAGCAAUGUUUUGUAGAUCAAUUGGUAUUUCUUUUGUUACAUAUAAAAUAUUUCAGAAAAGUACGUGUUAUUAGGGACCAAAAUAAAAAUGGUUAUAUGAAUUUUACAUGGGAAAAGGGCAAAAGGAGAGACUUGAAAGGAAGCUCUUCUUCUAAGAAGCCAAUGAAUUAAGGAGUCUAUCAACAAUCUUGCUCUGAGCUUCCUCACCAUCUUUUUCUCCUCCUCAUCGUCAUCACUCAACAAGCCGAUGCAGAGUGAAAAGACAAAGAAUUAUCACAAUCUUUUUUAACUGAAUUCUUAAUUUAUUUCAUUAGCACCACCAUUUUUUCAACAAGAAAAUCCUUCUUCUCCGAAGUAGAAGGUAUGCAUGCAUGGUUGAACAGGAGGGUUUUAUGGUGGACUGUUGGAUAAAUUGGUGAUGAUAAGUGUAGAGAUCAAAGAUAAAUAAGAAAGACAAGUACUAAAAAAAAGAAGAGGAAGUCGAAUUUAAAUUCAUUUUUUUACCUCAAAAUGUGUAAAGAAAACGAUAGUGAUUUCUUUUUGUAUUUUGAGGGUAAUAAUAGCUCUUCAAUAGCUUUGUGAAUGAUAGUGAUAAAGAAGGAGAAGAAGAUGGUGAAGAAGCUCAGAGCAAAGUUGUUGAUAAAUCUCAAAAUUCUUUGUCUUCUUUGGAAGAAGCUCUUCCUUCCACGUCUCUCCUUUUGACCCUUUUCCCUUGGAAAAUUCAUUGAACUACCUUUUUAUUUCAGCCCCUAAUAACAUCGUCUCUCUUAUUCUGUAUUCAGAUCAGAAUAGCAUCCAUUGCUUUGAAAUGAACACAAAUGCUAAUAUAUAAAAGACAUGCAAUCUAGUCCCAUCACAUGGCCUUUCUCAAGAAGUGACACACGUACUAUGGAUAUACUAGCGUGGAUGUCUAAGAGUGAAUGAAGGCUAAGUUUAUCGGUGAUAUCAACAACUAGGCAAAAUUCAUUGAACCUGAAUCUAUGAUCCUGUUUGUUUGCAGAAACAAGCAAUAUAGUAUCUAUUAGUCCACCUAAUUAGACACUAUGCGCAGUGGCGUAGCUAGAAAUUUCAUUAAGAUUGUUCAAAUUUUAAACCAGUCAAUAAUUUUUUGUCUAUGAAUAUUGUACCAAAUUCUUUAAACCAAACUACGACAACAUUUAACAAAACAAUAAAAAAAAUUAAUAAAACUAUAAUUUUAUAAAUCAAAAGUAAAAUAACAAAAAUAAAGGUUAUAAAUUUUACUAAAAAGUAAGCAUAAAACCAAAGGAAAGAAAGAGUGAGGAGGAUUUGUAGUUUGUAGAUAGCUUUUGUUAGAAUUUUUUUUCUAUAGAGCUUAAUUUUUAAAUUACAAAAUUUGUCUGUGAAAGAAUUUGUAGUUAAAAAAAUUACUUUUAAGAUAAGUUGUUUAUUCUUACACAAACCUUAAGUUUUAAGAAUUAUUUUAGAUUGAAAAAGAAUCAAAUAGACCAUAUGUGAUGGUCUCCUUUAGUUUUGGCAAAACAAAAUGGGAAAAAAUUGAACCCAUGAAAAACAUGUCACUUUGAAUACCCUAAAUCGCUAGACUGCCUCACUCAACUGUAUUAAAGGUGUUUAAAAUAUAAUAUAUAACCAUAUAAAUUAGUAUUUAACUUAUAUAUACAAUAUAAUUUUUUGAUGAAGAGUGUGCGCUUGACUACACUAUGGCACUAUCUUCUAUGUCGUGUUUGUCCUCGCGUAACGCACCAGCAUUGUAAUGGCCCGAUCGAUUAUUUUGAGUAUUUUAGUCCCAUUCUCCUAUUUAUUGCCUCCUCUAUUAUAUAUUGUAGUUAUGUGACUUACCGGAAAAGUUGGUUUGGUUUCAGAUGAGGUUUAGAGUGAGAUGAGACACUUAGUCCCAAAGUUGGAAGCUUAAGUUGAAAGAGUUGACCGAAAUUUGAAUUUUGUGUAGACGACUCUGAAAUAAAGUUUUAACGGUUCCCAUAGCUUCGUAUGGUAAUUUUGGACUUAGGAACAUGUUCGUAUAUUGAUUUGGAGAUACGUAGGUCAUUUUGGCUUAAAUUGGCGCAAGUUAGAAAGUUGAAGAUUUGGAAGGUUGAGGAAUUUGACCGGGAGUUGACUUUAUUGAUAUCAGGAUCGAAUUCUAAUUUUGGGAUUUGGAAUAGGUCAGUUGUAUAAUUUAUGACUUGCGUGCAAAAUUGAGACCAAUCGGAGUUGGUUUGGUAUGAAUCGGCGUUAAUUUUGGAAGUUGGAUGCUCAUGAUUUCAAUAGGUUUGAAUUUGGUUGCCAUUCAUAGAAUAGAUGUUGUUUGAUAUGAUUUUUGGCCUCGAGUAGGUUCGUUAUGUGUUUUGGAACUUGAUGGCAUAUUUGGAGGGGGCCCCGGGGGCCCAGAUGUGAUUCAGAUUGAAUCAGGAAACCUUUUGGACUAGGUUGAUUGUUGAAACACUGCUGAGUCUAGUGCAAUCGCACAUGCGCACUAUGGGAGCCACAAAAGCGAGAUUUGUACUGGAGCACUGGUUCCGUAGGUGCGGAGUAUGGCCCGCAGAUGCGCACCCGCAGAAGCGGAGUAGGAACCGUAGAUGCGGAAUCUGGCCCUUUGGUACUGGACCACAGUUACAGUCGUGUGUCGCAGAAGCGGGCUCGCAGGAGCUGUCAAUGCUCCGCAAAAGCGGGACCACAAGGGCGUCUCUUGUCUGCAGAUGCGGAACUCCAUGGCUUAAGUGAAAUCCGCAUAUGCGAUGGAUUUUCUGUAGGUGUGGAGCUGCAGAAGCGGAACCACUGGGCAGAAAAGGGGCAGAUCGAGGGUUUGUUCCCAUUCUUCAUCUUUUCAGUUAUAGAUCUUAGUUUUGAGCGAUUUUGAGAGAGAUUUUCAAGGAGUUGAACGGGGCAAGUGUUUUAACUCGGAUUUGACUAUUAUACAUGAAUCCAUCAUUGUUUGUAUCAUUUAAUUAAUGUUUUCAGUUGAAAAAAUUGGGGAAAUUUUGAAAACUCUAUAAGCUAUAUUUUGAGGAUUUGAAGGUCGAUUUGAGGUCGGAAUUGAAUAAUUUUAGCAUGGUUGGACUCAUUAUUAAAUAUGUAUUCGAAUUUUGUAAGUUUGGUCUGUUUCUGAGAUACGGGUCCGGGGUUAACUUAUUGAUUUUCUUUAAAGAUUGCAACUUUAUUAUCCAGAAUAGUUUUCUAUGAUUUGUAUUUAUGGUAUAAAGUUAUAUUCGCUAGAUUUGAGCCGUUCAAAGUCGGAUAUUCACGGAAAAGGCUUACUAGUGGAUUGAGUUAGCUUAUUUGAGGUAAGUAUCUUGCCUAACUUUAUGUGAGAAAUUUCCUCUUAGGAUUGGAGUUAUUUUGUGUCAUUUGUGGUACGUGAAAGCCGUAUACGUAAGGUGAUGAGUGGGUACACGAGUUAUAUAUGAUAAUUGACCAGUUUAAGCUAUGUACAUUCUUUUCAUACCUUUAAUCGAAUUGUGAUAACAUGACAUAUCUAUCAUCGUUAAUCAAUCCUUACAUGCUUUAUUUGACAUUAUUAAUACUUGUUGUAACGACCCGACCAUUCGCUUUGCUUUCUGGAUCCCUGUUCACCUAAAUAAGACUCCACGUAUGAGCUUUUAAUAUUUUAUGACUUGCGGGGAUGGUUGGUUUAGGUUUGAAAGGGUUCGGGUUGAAAUCGGAACACUUAAAUCCUUUAUAGUGGUCGAAGGUGGACAAGUUCGAUUUGAGUCAAUGUUUUGGGUAAACAACCUCGAAACCGGGAUUUGAAGGUUCCAAUAGGUUUGUAUGAUAAUUUUGAACUUGAGUGUGUGUUCGGAUCAGAUUUCGGGGUAAUCCGGGAGCAUUUCGGUGCUUAAUGUGAAAAAUCGGUUCAUUCAAGGUUUUCUGGUUGUUUAAAAUUGGUUUGGAGUAGACUUUGGUUUUAUUGAGGUCCGUUUGGGAUUUCGAUCCUGAGAAUAGUUCCGUGUGGUGAUUUAGGACUUGUAUGCGAAAUUUGGUGUCAUUCCGAGUUGAUUUGAUAGGAAUCAGACGAGCGGAAGUGAGUCUGUAUUAUAUUGUUGGACGCGUUAGUGCAAUUAGAUGGGGUCCGGGGGGGGGGGGUAGGGUGCGAAUCAGAUUGGAAUCAGACUUGAUUUUGGUCCUGGGGGGGAAGGGGGAGGGUGCGAUUCCAAGUCCUCGAGCAAGCAUAAGCAGCCCAGUGGUCGCAUGAGCGGACUUGGAGCUGGAGCUGGGUGGCCGCAGGUGCGAGGCAUUUUUCGCUUUUGCGCAUCCGCGGAUGCAAUAGAGGCUCCGCAGGUGCGGCAAUGGGCCGGGUAGCUAUGGAUCGCAGGAGCGAAGGAGAGUCUUCAGAAGUCGAGGGAGUUCGCAGAAGUAGACCCGCAGAAGCGAGGAGGCUGGAGGCAGUGGGGGGUCGUAGAUGCAGCCUUUUGACCGCACCUGCGGUUCCGCAGAUGCGCCUUAGUAACCGCAUGUGCGGAAGUCGCUAUGUAGUGAGUGCAUUUAAUCCGAGACAUAGGCUAUUUUACUCACACUUUUAUUUGGUCUUGGGAGAUUUUGAGAGCACUUUCGAGGGGGAUUCUCAUCAACAACACGAGGAAAGUAAACUGCACCCAUUUUCAAGUUAAAUACGCAGAUUAUAGGUAGAUUAAACAUGGAAAAUUAGUGAAACUUGUGGGAUUUUGUGAAGAACCUAGGGUUUAAGUAAAAUUGGGAUUUGACCUUGGAUUUGGUGGUAGAAAUUGUAAUAAAUUAUAUAAUUGAGCUCAGGAGGUCAUGGGUAACAAUUAUAUUCGAAAAUUUUCGGAAUCUGGGCACGUGAGCUUGGGGGUGAAUUUCAUGAAUCUUCCAAAUUGGUUUGGGUAACUAUUUUAAUAGCUAAAUUACAAACUCACGAGAAUAUAUUUAUUAGUUUAUACGACUUUUGAUUAGUUUCGGGUUCCUCGGCGUCGUUUGACUAGUUCUAGUGAUAUUGAAGAGCCGGAUCGAGGACUUGGAAUCGAGGUAAGUCUCUUGCCUAACCUUGUAAGAGGGAACUUAUCCUCUUAGGUGUAUUAUUAUUGUGUGCUACUUGUUGUGGGGAGCUACAUACACACGAGCUGACAAGAGUACGUACGUAGCUAUACUUCAUGAUAUGUCCGAGUAGACUAAGAUUCAUAUCAUGCCUUUAAUUGUAUUGUUAAUGCCUGUCAUGUGUAUUACUUGUCUUGAUUAGGACCGAGACUGAGGAUUUAAAUUGGAGAUAUCGACUUAGUUUCUUACUUUAGAAAAACAAUCAAGGAAAUACUUGAUAAAUGAUAAAUCAUUAUCUUCUCGUCUCGCAAGUGCUUCUGCUAGCGAGGUAAACUUCUCUACUAUUAUUGGAUCGGGCUGUUCGCCUCGGCAGUGACAUAAAUUACUCUUUUGGGAUCAGACCGUUUGCCUCGGCUUGAUGGUAACACUACUCUUAUGGGAUCGGGCCAUUCGCCUCAGAAGGUUGGUAUUACUAUUCUUAUGGGAUCGGGCCAUUCACCUCGGCAGUACUGAGUACCACUAUUCCUAUGGGAUCGGGCCGUUCUCCUCGGCAACUUCGUGCUUAAUAAUUGGAACUGAAUUUGGUUUGGUAAUUACUGAGUUAGCGCCUUCAAGGCCGGUUAUGACGUGUUUAGUGAUUUGAUAUAGCCUCAUGUGUGUACUUGUUGUAGAUUCUUUUAUUUGCUUCACUACUACCUGUUGUACACUCGCCAUGUCUACUUCGUGUUUUUAUGAUUUUAUUUUACCUCUAGUAAGAAUAAAGUCGACCCCUCGUCAUUACUUCUUCGAGGUUAGACUAGAUACUUACUAGAUACAUGUUAUUUUACGUACUCACGCUACAUUUCUGCACUGAUGUUCAGGUACCGAGAUAGGUACUACCAGUGGUCACGCGGGCGUGUAGCCGAUCAUCUACGGAUAAUUAGGGGUGAGCUGCUUGCCUUGCUACGAUCUGUAGCACCGAAGUAUCCCUCUACCUUAUUUUUUUAUUUCUGUCUAUCACUUUCAAACAAUAGUUGUAGUAGCUUUAUAUAUUCCCUGGAUUGCUCAUGUACUUGUGCGUCGGGUUUUGGGGACUUUUAGCAUUUAUGUACUGCUAUAUUUAUCAUUUCUAGAACUACAGUAGAUGUACUUAUUAUGCUAGUAUUUUGUUAAGAAAAGAAUAGUUACGGUUGCUUGAGAUCUUGCUUAUUUUGUUCUUAUAAAAGGAAAACUUUAGUUUUAAAUGUUAACAAGGGGCAAAUAAUUAGUAGUUUCAGUUGUGGUCUUACCUAACGGCGGUGUUAGGUGCCACCGCAACCUAUUAGGGGUUUUGGGUUGUGACAGUUUGGUAUCCGAGCUUUAGGUUUACAUAGGUCUCACGAGUCAUGAGCAGGCCUAGUAGAGUCUUGCGGACCGGUGCAGAGACAUCCGUACUUAUAUUCGAGAGGCUAUAGGGUGUUAUAAAACUUUUCUUUAUUCAUCUCCUAUCGUGCAAUUGAUAUUGUGCUAAGUAUCUUUCUAUUGAUCUCUCACAGGUGGUGAGAACGCACGCAUCAAAUGCAAUAAGCAGUAGAGGGGAUGCUCCCCCCAUUGCUAGAGGCCGAGGCAGGGGUCGGGGAAGGGCUCCAGCUCCAGUCAAAGGACGAGGGCUUCUUAGAGUUGCUCCAGUUGUACCACCGGUAGAUCUAGUGAAGGAUCUUGUUGUUGAUGAGCAGGAUAAGGCACCUGCAACUGUGCCAUCCCCACCAGAUUUCAUGACUGCACCGGGAUUCCAGGAGGUCAUAGGCCGUAUGCUGCGGGUCAUGGACUCUAUGACGCAGGCUAGUUUAUUUCCAGCAGACUCUGCCACAUCUCAAGCGGGAGGGGGAGCAUAGACCCCUACUGCUCAGGCUCCAAGGAACGUACGCUGCCGUUUAUCAGACCCCAACUGUACUAGCUGCGGGCAGAGCCCAGCCAGUUGCAGUGACUGUGCGAGAGGCUAUACCAGUCGUGACCGUUGAUCAGCAAAAGCGGCUGGAAAGAUGGACUAGACUUCAUCCCCCUAACUUUUGGGGGUGAUCGGGCAGAGGACCCCCAGGAUUUCAUUGACUGUUGCAAGGAUAGGCUCUGAAACAUUGGGAUGUUGGAGUCCAACGGGAUGGACUUCACCACCUUUCAGCUUGAGGGCAAAGCCCAAAGAUGGUGGCAGGCUUACCUUUUUAGCAGGCCAGCAGGUUGGUCUCCCUUGACUUGGAUUAGUUUACGCAUUUGUUCUUGGAGAAGUACAUACCACCUUCUGAGAGAGAAGGAGAUUCGGGGUCAGUUUGAGCGACUCCGUUAGUACGCCCAUGUAGUCAGCACCACUGUCUACUCAGAGUGCUCCAACAUGACCCUACUUUAGUGCCAUUCCGGAGAGUACUUACCGUCCACAAGCUAUUCAUGGUUCCUUCAUUGGGUAUUUAGGCCAUCAAGGUCAGACUUUAGGUUAGCAGUCCACUGCUCUGAGGGGUUGUUUUGAGUGCGGGGAUCAUGGCCACGUGAAUAGGUUUUUUCCAAGACUUCGGGGAAGGCCGAGCAGUUGGUCCAUCGGCCCAUGAUUACCGCACCAGCUACCACAUUGCCUAGCCUGCCGGCUAGAGGCAGAGGGCAGGUGGGUAGGGGUCAUCCUAGAGGUAGAGGCUAGUUAGGUUGCGCUCCGACUAGAUUCUAUGCUAUCAUCGCUAGGCCAGAUUCAAUUGCCUCCGAUGUAGUGAUCACAUGUAAUAUUUCUGUCUGCCGUAGGGAUGCAUCGAUAUUAUUUGAUCCAGGGUAUACUUACUCCUAUGUUUCUUCUCUAUUUUCUCCUUAUCUAGAUGUACCUUGCGAGUCCUUGGGCGUUCCUGUGUAUGUGUCCACGCCAGUGGGUGAUUCUAUUAUUGUGGAUCGGGUCUACCGAUCCUAUGUGAUGACUUUCUAUGGUUAUAAGACCAGAGCAGAUCUACUAUUGCUCGAUAUGGUAAACUUCGAGGUUAUCUUGGGCAUGGACUGGUUGUCCCCGUACCACACCAUUCUUGAUUGCCAUGCCAAGACUGUUGCCUUAGCGAUGCCUAAGUUGCCUAGAUUAGAGUGGAGGGGUUCGUCUGUUGUUACUUCCAGCCGGAUUAUUUCUUUCUUGAAGGCUCGACAUAUGGUUGAUAAGGGUUGUUUGGCCUACUUGGACUUUGUUUGGGAUAUUACUGUAGAGACUCCCGUGACAGAUUCAGUGCUGGUAGUACGAGAGUUUUCCGAUAUAUUUCUUACUGACCUACCUGGUAUGUCGUCGAAUCGGGAUAUCGAUUUUGGCAUUGAUUUGGUGCCAGGCACCCAGCCUAUUUCUACUUCCCCUUAUCGUAUGGCUCUCAAGGAGCUUAGCAAGUUAAAGGAGCAGCUUCAUGAAGUUCUUGAGAAGGGGUUCAUUAGACCCAGUGUAUCGCCAUGGGGCGCACCGAUGUUGUUUAUGAAGAAGAAGGAUGAGAGUAUGCGUAUGUGCAUUGAUUACCGCCAGUUAAACAAAGUCACCAUCAAUAAUAAGUAUACGUUGCCACGCAUUGAUGAUUUGUUCGACCGGUUGCAGGGUGCCAGGGUGUUCUCUAAGAUCAACUUGAGAUCUGGGUAUCAUUAGCUGAAGAUUCGUGCUUUGGAUAUUCCGAAGACGGCUUUCCGGACUAGAUAUGGACACUAUGAGUUUUUAGUGAUGUCAUUCGGGUUGACUAACGCCUCAGUGGCAUUUAUGGAUUUGAUGAAUAUGGGGUUCAGGUCAUAUCUUGACUCAUUUGUCAUUGUAUUCAUUGAUGACAUAUUUAUCAACUCGCGUAGUAUGGAGGAGCACAAGCAACAUUUAUGGUUAGUGCUUCAGACCUUGCGGGAACAGAAGCUUUAUGCUAAGUUCUCCAAGUGUGAGUUAUGGAUGGAUUUCGUGGCUUUCUUGGGGCAUGUUGUAGCAAGUGAGGGUAUUAA
This 9822-nucleotide long non-coding RNA is filed under the name Nicotiana tabacum (common tobacco). Its description in RNAcentral is "long non-coding RNA (NTAB_LNC006716)". The record is from RNAcentral. Lineage: Eukaryota; Viridiplantae; Streptophyta; Magnoliopsida; Solanales; Solanaceae.